Molecule: non-coding RNA, 72 nt
Organism: Teleopsis dalmanni
Lineage: Eukaryota; Metazoa; Arthropoda; Insecta; Diptera; Diopsidae
Source: the annotation of a RefSeq genome assembly
GGGGAUGUGGCUCAGUGGUAGAGCGAUCGCUUUGCAUGCGAAAGGUCCCGGGUUCGAUCCCCGGCAUCUCCA